RNAcentral lists this ribosomal RNA (770 nucleotides) under uncultured bacterium. RNAcentral's name for it is "bacterial SSU rRNA". It matches the Rfam family "Bacterial small subunit ribosomal RNA", at positions 43 to 833 of the family's 1533-position model. The record is from RNAcentral.
CGCUGGAUUAGGCAUGCAGUCGCGCGGACCAGCAAUGGUUAGCGGCGAAAGGGAGAGUAACGCGUGGGUUAUCUGCCUCUUGGGCCAGGAUAGCUGCGGGAAACUGCAGGUAAUACUGGAUAAUGUCUUCGGACCAAAGGUGCGAUUCCGCCGGGAGAUGAGCCCGCGUCCUAUUAGCUAGUUGGUGAGGUAAUGGCUCACCAAGGCUUAGAUGGGUAGGGGGUGUGAGAGCACGACCCCCCUCACUGGGACUGAGACACUGCCCAGACACCUACGGGUGGCUGCAGUCGAGGAUCUUCGGCAAUGAGCGCAAGCUUGACCGAGCGACGCCGCGUGCGGGAUGAAGGCCUUCGGGUUGUAAACCGCUGUCAGAGGGGACGAAGUGCUAGCGGGUACUCUCGCUAGUUUGACAGAUCCUCAAAGGAAGGGUGGGCUAAGUUCGUGCCAGCAGCCGCGGUAAGACGUACCACCCGAACGUUAUUCGGAUUUACUGGGCUUAAAGAGUCCGUAGGCGGCCAAGUAAGUUGGAUGUGAAAUACCUCGGCCUAACCGAGGAACAGCAUUCAAAACUACUUGGCUUGAGAGAGACAGAGGUGAGCGGAACUGAUGGUGGAGCGGUGAAAUGCGUUGAUAUCAUCAGGAACACCGGUGGCGAAAGCGGCUCACUGGGUCUCUUCUGACGCUCAGGGACGAAAGCUAGGGGAGCGAACGGGAUUAGAUACCCCGGUAGUCCUAGCCUUAAACGAUGAGCACUAGAUCGUAGGGACCUC